CCUACGGGUGGCAGCAGUAGGGAAUCUUCCACAAUGGACGAAAGUCUGAUGGAGCAACGCCGCGUGAGUGAAGAAGGGUUUCGGCUCGUAAAGCUCUGUUGGUAGUGAAGAAAGAUAGUGGUAGUAAUUGGCCUGUAUUCGACGGUAAUUACUUAGAAAGUCACGGCUAACUACGUGCCAGCAGCCGCGGUAAUACGUAGGUUGCAAGCGUUGUCCGGAUUUAUUGGGCGUAAAGCGAGUGCAGGCGGUUCAAUAAGUCUGAUGUGAAAGCCUUCGGCUCAACCUGAGAAUUGCAUUAGAAACUGUUGAAGGUGAGUGCAGAAGAGGAGAGUGGAACUCCAAGUGUAGCGGGGGAAUGCGUAGAUAUAUGGAAGAAAACCAGUGGCGAAGGCGGCUCUCUGGUCUGCAACUGACGCUGAGGCUCGAAAGCAUGGGUAGCGAACAGGAUUAGAUACCCCUGUAGUC
RNAcentral lists this ribosomal RNA (465 nucleotides) under uncultured bacterium. RNAcentral describes it as "partial 16S ribosomal RNA". It matches the Rfam family "Bacterial small subunit ribosomal RNA", at positions 338 to 795 of the family's 1533-position model. The record is from RNAcentral.